CAGCAGUAGCCGCGGUAAUACAGAGGGUGCGAGCGUUAAUCGGAUUUACUGGGCGUAAAGCGUGCGUAGGCGGCUUCUUAAGUCGGAUGUGAAAUCCCUGAGCUUAACUUAGGAAUUGCAUUCGAUACUGGGAAGCUAGAGUAUGGGAGAGGAUGGUAGAAUUCCAGGUGUAGCGGUGAAAUGCGUAGAGAUCUGGAGGAAUACCGAUGGCGAAGGCAGCCAUCUGGCCUAAUACUGACGCUGAGGUACGAAAGCAUGGGGAGCAAACAGGAUUAGAUACCCGCGUAGUCCCUGUCUCUUAUAC
Molecule: ribosomal RNA, 304 nt
Filed under: uncultured bacterium
Lineage: Bacteria
Description: partial 16S ribosomal RNA
Rfam family: Bacterial small subunit ribosomal RNA
Source: RNAcentral